GAAACAUACACAAACGGCUUACACGAAGGUAAGCAAUAGCCAUUAGUGAAAGAAAAAGGAAACUAAACAUUCACAAGUAAUAUGAUUCAUUUUAGAUCAUAUACAUUGCAUCCAUCUCUUACAUUUAGGAUUCUUUGCAUUUCAUUACAUAAUUUCAUCAUUUCUUUCUUACAUCACAUAUACCUCAAAAUAAGCUUUACAUUCUUUUCCUUGCUCUAUACAUUAACAUCUUGAAUCAUCAAAUACAAAAGAUGAUAAAAGGGAUAACUGCUAACAAAAUGUAACCC
Molecule: long non-coding RNA, 287 nt
Filed under: Ananas comosus (pineapple)
Lineage: Eukaryota; Viridiplantae; Streptophyta; Magnoliopsida; Poales; Bromeliaceae
Description: long non-coding RNA (ACOM_LNC044141)
Source: RNAcentral